ACGCAGCGCGGUUGCUGGGCACCUCGACUAUCACCUGACCGUAGUAAUAUCUCCCGCUACGCGCGUUGUGACCAAUGCUGCAUACAGGAGAUGAGGGAGGACGGCCAGACACCUGGAAGCCGGAAAAUGGUGAGUGUGCGGGGCCGGUGUCCCGAGACCUGAGGAGGGACAGGUUGGAACCGGCCGGAACCGGCUGUGGCGGGACCCGGGGCUCCCCUCGGCGACUCUGGGGUCUGGGACCCGGGUCCCUCUGGCGCAGCUGGGCCCUCAGUGCCCUCGGCCGCAGAGUGGGGCUGGGCUGGCAUCCGGGACCCCGGGCAUCCUGUCCCGUUCCUGCGCGACGCCUGCGGCCCCGGCCUCAGCCUCGGCGCCCUCUCUGGGCAGCUGCACGCCGCAGCCUCGUGUCUCCCCAGAUUGCACGGGAGCCCCGGGAGGGUCAUGGGGAGGAUUCCGACUCGUGUGUGGGGUUCGUGCGUGGGAGGAGCAGUGUUCUGUGUGAUCCUCAGUCCCUCCUUUCUCCAUAAAGGUCACCCAUCUUCCCUUGAGGUUUCCAAAUGUAUGGAAAGCAGGGUGUCAAAUCCAUAAUCCUGUCUCCAGACUAUCUCUUCCUGGGGCUGGCAGUAAAUUCCUAAGUUUGCGGAUCCCUUCCCGCAUUCCCAAAGUCUAACGCCCCCUCUCCAGUUCACAGCGUCAUUGUCAAUUGUUUGGCCUCUGGUGCAUUUCACACGGACGCCGUGUUUCUCAUUUUUCCGAAGAACCAGGGAUGACUCGUUUUAACGGAUUUAUUUUUUGUUUGCGGAUAUUUUACAUGGGAGGAAGGCAAAGAAUACCCACCUGGAAUUGUUACAUAAAUCCUUAUGACUCUCCUUCCAGUAUCUCUCCUGAGCACAGACACACUGCAGGAACUCUUGGGUUGGGGCUCCUCUUUGGAAACUUCCCUGGGUGACCUGUCUUUUUUAGCAGUUUCAGGUCGGCACUGCCCGUCCUUGACUUUGUAUUCUUGAAAAGAUUUGACCACUCACUUGUGUGUCAUUUUCUUCAUGUAUCUGAAAGGUAUAUAAUCAAUAGCUACUAAAAGUAUUAUAAUUUUUUAUUUCUAAUUUUUGUGGGUACAUAGUAGGUGUAUAUAUUUAUGGAGUACACGAGAUGUUUUGAUGCAGGCAUGCAACGUGAAAUAAGCACAUCGUGAAGAAAGGGAUAUCCCCUCAAGCAUCUGAGUUGCAAACAAUCCAGUUACACUCUAUAAGUUAUUUUAAAAUGUACAGUUCUGUGUGGUUUUUUUUUCCACCCAUUAAUUGUCCUCUCCUUUCUCUCAGGCUCCCACUACCUUUCCCAGCUUCUAAUAACCACCCUACUCUCUAAGUCCA
RNAcentral lists this long non-coding RNA (1367 nucleotides) under Homo sapiens (human). RNAcentral describes it as "non-protein coding lnc-ZNF136-1:12". The record is from RNAcentral. Lineage: Eukaryota; Metazoa; Chordata; Mammalia; Primates; Hominidae.